GAUGAACGCUGGCGGCGUGCCUAUACAUGCCAGUCGAGCGAACAGACGAGGAGCUUGCUCCUCUGACGUUAGCGGCGGACGGGUGAGUAACACGUGGAUAACCUACCUAUAAGACUGGGAUAACUUCGGGAAACCGGAGCUAAUACCGGAUAAUAUAUUGAACCGCAUGGUUCAAUAGUGAAAGACGGUUUUGCUGUCACUUAUAGAUGGAUCCGCGCCGCAUUAGCUAGUUGGUAAGGUAACGGCUUACCAAGGCAACGAUGCGUAGCCGACCUGAGAGGGUGAUCGGCCACACUGGAACUGAGACACGGUCCAGACUCCUACGGGAGGCAGCAGUAGGGAAUCUUCCGCAAUGGGCGAAAGCCUGACGGAGCAACGCCGCGUGAGUGAUGAAGGUCUUCGGAUCGUAAAACUCUGUUAUUAGGGAAGAACAAAUGUGUAAGUAACUAUGCACGUCUUGACGGUACCUAAUCAGAAAGCCACGGCUAACUACGUG
Molecule: ribosomal RNA, 496 nt
Filed under: uncultured bacterium
Lineage: Bacteria
Description: partial 16S ribosomal RNA
Rfam family: Bacterial small subunit ribosomal RNA
Source: RNAcentral